RNAcentral lists this unclassified non-coding RNA (167 nucleotides) under uncultured fungus. RNAcentral describes it as "sequence contains ITS1". Lineage: Eukaryota; Fungi. The record is from RNAcentral.
UUAUUAAUUUAUUCUCAAUAAAGAGAUAUUGACAUUCCUAACUUUAAGAGUGUAAAAUGUGUAAAAACAGUAUUGUGCACAGGGUGAAGGAAAUGAAUAGGUCGGAUCUCUAAAUAGAGCGUCCUUGUAUUUCAUUAAUGAUCCUUCCGCAGGUUCACCUACGGAAA